UCUGAUGGUCUCUCUCGGUUUUUUUUUCUCACGCGUUCUCCGAUUUUUCUUCCUCUCUCACGUUCUUCGCUUCCUCUUGCGUUCUCUGGUAGAGGUUUCUUUCUAAAAGGAUCAUAAUCAUUUGGAUAUUGUUAAAGGUAAGUAUCAAAACGAUAAAACCCUAUUUUGACUGCUAUUGUUUUGUUUCCCUUUUUUCUUUAUUAGUUUCUUGUGGGUAUUGUGUAUGGGGUGGGUGGGGAAGAGUCCUCAAAUCUUCUUCUGGUUUGUUUGGAUGGCAUGGGAAUUCGUUUAGGAUUUGGAUUUGGGUGGAUAACUUAAAAAGAGAAGAAUUUGUAUUUGACCCAAAUCCAUCCUGGAAUUCAAGUUCCAAAUCUAUUGAUUUCAAAUCCCUCACUAACCGUGGAAUUUGGGAAAUCCUUCCACAACGCUCGUGUCUUCACUGCCUUAAGCUGCGACAACAAUGUUAAAGCCGCAACCACCAUGGUGUUCAGAUACACAUACACCUCUACUAUGUCAUGGGUGCUGGCAAUGACAAGCAUGGGAAUUAUCAUUGCUUCGAGUUAUUAGAGUGCCAUGAAUAUGUUAGCAUCAACCAUCAGAAGUGUGUUGUACUUGGAGAUUUGAGAAUUGUAACUCUUUUUUAGGGAUUGAAUACCUUACUUUGUAUGUUUUGAUUUUGUCAUAUUGAUGUGUAAAUAUGUAAAUGCAGUAAAACAUGUUGUACCUUUGGUUCUUUAAUUAAUUUCUAAUACAUGAUUACAUUGAUCAAUAUAAUACAAAUAAUGUUAAUAUUCAAUGUAAUACAAAUAUAAUUUGUCCUCUC
Molecule: long non-coding RNA, 823 nt
Organism: Quercus robur (English oak)
Lineage: Eukaryota; Viridiplantae; Streptophyta; Magnoliopsida; Fagales; Fagaceae
Exons: 2
Source: RefSeq, a predicted model, not a curated record